UCGCAUCUGUGCAUGCAGCAUAUCAAUAAGCGGAGGAAAAGUCAAUACCUACGCUUAGGAUGUUGACGCGCGUGUGUGCGUGAGUCUAUACAUGACUCUGUGCAUAUCAAUAAGCGGAGGAAAAGAAACUAACAAGGAUUCCCUUAGUAACGGCGAGUGAAGCGGGAAGAGCUCAAAUUUGAAAUCUUCAAGGUUUUACCUUGACGAAUUGUAGUUUAAAGAAGUGUUUUCCUGUUGAAGUUUUGGUAAAAGUUCUUUGGAAUAGGACAUCAUAGAGGGUGAGAAUCCCGUAUUUGACCAUUAUUUUCAGCUGUGUGAUACACUUUCAAAGAGUCGGAUUGUUUGGGAACUGCAGUCCAAAAUGGGUGGUAAAUUUACAUCUAAAGCUAAAUAUUGGCGAGAGACCGAUAGCGAACAAGUACCGUGAGGGAAAGAUGAAAAGAACUUUGAAAAGAGAGUUAAACAGUACGUGAAAUUGUCAAAAGGGAAGCGUUUGACACCAGUGUUGUUUUCCUCGAAAAUCAAUUAAAAAGAGUUAGAUUUUGUUGUGUAUUGACCUUAACAGCUUGCAUUUCACUCUUUUCUAGCUUUUUUUAAUGCACUUUUCGUUUAACAAGUCAACAUCAGUUUCUUUUGUUGUAAAAAGGUCAUUGGAAGGUGGCUUUCUUUUCGGAGAAAGUGUUUAUAGCCUUCGACUCCUGCAAUCGGAGAGACUGAGGUCUGCAGCGUAGAUCCUCCGGGGUUAGAUACAUUUGUGCUAAGUUAUAGCUUUUUAUAGACAACUUGUUGACUAUGAUUAGUCUUGUAGCUUACUCGCUUAUGCUAUUUUACCUACGCUUAGGAUGUUGACGCGCGUGUGUGCGUG
RNAcentral lists this ribosomal RNA (865 nucleotides) under uncultured Neocallimastigales. RNAcentral describes it as "partial large subunit ribosomal RNA". It matches the Rfam family "Eukaryotic large subunit ribosomal RNA", at positions 1 to 639 of the family's 3401-position model. Lineage: Eukaryota; Fungi; Neocallimastigomycota; Neocallimastigomycetes; Neocallimastigales. The record is from RNAcentral.